UGGGGAAUAUUGGGCAAUGGGCGAAAGCCUGAUCUAGCAACACCGCGUGUGCGAAGAAGGCCUUCGGGUCGUAAAGCACUUUUUGGAAGGAAUAGGAAGGAAUGUACUUCCAGAAUAAGUCUCGGCUAACUACGUGCCAGCAGCCGCGGUAACACGUAGGAGGCGAACGUUAUCCGGAUUUACUGGGCGUAAAGCGCGUGUAGGUGGUUCUGUAAGUAGGGCGUGAAAGCUCCUGGCUCAACUGGGAGAGGCCGUUCUAAACUGCAGAGCUAGAGGAUGGUAGAGGGAGGUGGAAUUCCGGGUGUAGCGGUGGAAUGCGCAGAUAUCCGGAGGAACACCAGUGGCGAAAGCGGCCUCCUGGACCAUUCCUGACACUCAGACGCGAAAGCUAGGGUAGCAAACG
Molecule: ribosomal RNA, 403 nt
Filed under: uncultured prokaryote
Description: bacterial SSU rRNA
Rfam family: Bacterial small subunit ribosomal RNA
Source: RNAcentral